Long non-coding RNA from Ostrea edulis (European flat oyster), 3262 nucleotides. RefSeq lists it as uncharacterized. The record is from RefSeq and is a predicted model, not a curated record. The transcript has 2 exons. NCBI's taxonomy places the organism in Eukaryota, Metazoa, Mollusca, Bivalvia, Ostreida, Ostreidae.
GGUCUAUUUGGCGACAUGUGCGAUUUUAUGAAGCCUACAGUUUCAGCUAGUGUGAGCGAAAGAGAUACAAACAUUAUCAAAGAGCGUUGAUCAAAAAACUCGACUUUAUCUAGCAGGGAUAUUCACAGAGUCUUAAAGACGAUGGUGCCACUUUCGGACUGUCUACAACGAAGUGGGCAAUUGAGGCAUCCAGUUUCACCCAUUCGAAACCCCGUUAUGGACAAAUGGUUCGACACGCUAACAAAGUAAAAAGGAUGGAAUUUUGUGAGCAACUUAUUGCAUCCAAUGACAAGUUUGAAAACGUAAUAUUUUCCGAUGAAUGCUCAGUUCAGCUGAACCAAAACAAGAUGUGCAGCUACAGAAAGAUAGAUUCCCAUGCUACAGUAUUACCCAAACCGAAGCACCCACUAAAGAUCCACAUAUGGGCCGCAGUUAGCAAGAAAGGGGCAUCAGAAAUCCGGCUUUUUGAGGGAAUCAUGGAUUCUGAAUUUUAAACAGACUGUAUCUUAAGGGAUACCUUGAUGCCAUUUAUACAGAAGAAUUUCGUUGGAACUGAACAUCGAUUUCAACAAGACAACGACCCUAAACACACCUCUAGACAUGCCAAGGCUUUCAUGGCGGAUAACGGGAUUAACUGGUGGAAUGGAUGGCCUGCCGAAAGUCCGGACCUUAACCCAAUAGAAAUGGCUUGAAAUGAACUCAAGAGGUGUGUCACCCGGGAAACCCCACAUACAAAACAAGAACUUCAGGACUGCAUCCUGCGAUUUUGGAGAACCCAGAUGACAAUAGACAAGUGUUGUGCGUACAUAGAUCAUGUGUUUAAAGUUAUACCAACGUGUGUAAUUAUGAAGGGAAAUGCGACUGGUGAUGUACCCAAGAAACUGUUCACGGACAGAUCAAAAGGAAAAAGUAUCGCCUUCUUCCAAGAUAAGUUAACAUCAGACCUGGAAGUUAAUUCGAAGUACGUUGCUUUGAUGCAACAAUGGAUGUAACAUUCGUAUGCAAUAUGAAUUGUUUUGUGUACUUAUUUGAUUAAAUGUAAUAAAAUGGAGAGAGAGAAAACACGGCUCGUAUUUUUAUAGUUAAGCAUAAAAAAUUACAGAUAAUGGCGUGAGAAAAUUUCUAGACUUUUUACCACAAGUUCAUUUCUUAAAUAUACAUGAGGAUAUGAACUGCGAUGCUUUACGCCAGCAUACUGCUAGCACUUCAUGGAAACUAUGACGGCAUGAAGUGUUGCUGUUUACACCCUCCUGUAUGUUUAAAAACGAAUCUUUCUUAUCUACUUUCAUUUCUGUCGGAUCUUUCCAGCUGUUAAAAUAGUUGUACUGCAUGUAUAUUAAAUUCAUACACAUUUCAUUUACAUUCCUGUGGAAAUAGAUAUCAUUUCAAUUGCUAAAGAUAUGGAAGGAAAAAAAACACGAUGGAAAUGUAAAUGCCCAUAAACCUGGUAAAAAGUCUCCGCAUUAGACACAAAGAAAUACAUAUAUUAGGGAUCGUAAUAUCGGGCUAUUCCCAGAGGUGCUUGCCGUUUUAAAUAAUUUUAUAUAAUAUCUUUCUGUAAAGAAACCAUAGUCUGCUAACAUAAAGAAACUAUAUUAUAUCUAAUCAUUUAAAACGUCAAACAUACCCAUUUACAAGAACAGUUACUUUGGCAUAAAUAACAUUACCAAUUCAAUAGAUACUAUGAUACCGCAAAUACCGUGCAAAUAAGAAGUGUUAUUAAGAAUUCAUGAAAUAUGCAAUGUAUUCAGACAAAGUGUGUUUUACGUACAGUGUAUGGAUACUACAUGAGCAGAUUUCAUUUAAAUAUAUCAUGUAUCAUAUAGACUAAAGAAAUCUGGAUAACAGAGUUUUGUUAAAGAGAAACCUAGUGCGGAAAUUGCAUUAUGUCAACACACCAUUAAUCAUUAUCUAUGUGUGUUUUCUCAACUUUGAAAAUGAAAUCAAACUAAAAAAAAACCAAUGCAAAUAAAUUUGAUUUAAUCAACUUACCAAAGCUUGCAAAAUUUUCCUUCGCUUCGGGGGAGGAGUCUCUAACCGUGGAGAUUGGGGUGGAGAUGUCGAUGAGGAGGGGGAUGACAAAGCGGGUGGUGUUACUGGUCUUGGCAAUUGUCCCAUCAACUCAUUCAACUUCAGUCGCAUCUCCUGCUCGGUUCCGAAAUGGAGAACAAUGGCCUCGUCGACUUCUUUCGGUCGUCCCCAUUGCACACUGUAUGUCUCCCCAUCAGAAAUAACAGAAUCUGCAUCACACUUGAAAUAAGCACGACUUCGCACUUGCAUAUCAUCGUCACACAAAUAACGCACAAUGAAAUGUGAAUCCAAUCGCAUGGUACGCGGUGCUAGUUUUCUAGACAUGAUGACCAACUUGAAACAUUUGAAAAUACAUUGGAAGGAAAUACUGAUCCUAGAAAAGAAUUGUGGACCCUCAAUUGACCCCAAACUCAAAUGUUGUAGAGAUUUCAACACUUUAAAAUAUUUCGGUAUAUGGCGGCCAUUUUGAAAAUGGCGGCUCAAAAAAAAAAUUUUGAUGGUGGAAAUGGACUCGGGGUGACCAUAUGACCCUAGAAAUCGAAUUUGGUUGAAAUCCGACAACCUUGACUUUUUGACGUUUUUUGGCCGCCAUCUUGAAACGACGGCCAUUUUGAAAAUUUGAAAAGUUGAAUGCACCCCUCCUAGUGACCCCCUAUCAGCUCACAAAAUUUGAAGUGGAUCUGUCGAAGCACUUUCACAAAAUCGGUCGGACAAAUUUCUCACUAAAGAAGAGGAAAAAUAAGAAGAAAAGAAUAAUAAGAAUAACGAGCUAUAACUGUGUUGGGAUGCCAACACAAAUGUCUCCGAACACCUCUCCAUGUUAGAAAUGGUUUUUGAUGCCAGAUAUCCACUCACGAUCCUCAAAAAACCCUAGAAACUAAGUUUGGUUGAAAUCCAACGGACUUGAUUUUUUGCCGCCAUUUUCAUCAAUGGUGGCCAUUUUGAAUCAUUUGAAAAUAGAUUGGAAGGAAAUAGUGAUGCUAUAAAUGAACUGUGGAUCCUCCAAUUACCCCAGAACCCAAAUGUUGUAGAGAAUUUAACAUUUUCAAAUAUUUUGGUAUAUGGCGACCAUUUUGAAAAUGGCGGCUCAAAAAAAAUUUUUAAGGGUGGGAAUGAACUUGGGGUCACCAAAUUACCCUAGAAAUAAAAUUUGGUUGAAAUCCGACAACCUUGAUUUUUUGACGUUUUUCGCCGCCAUUUUGAAACGGCGGCCAUUUUGAAAAUUUGGAAA